UCCAACGCAAACUUUUAUUUGUUUCAGGAUGCGUGUUCCCGAGCAGCGACAGAGUCUCUGGGCAGCCUUUACAGGAAUGAAAUGCCCCUCAUCAAGAAUGUUGCAGGGCUUGGCCUCAUUCCAAAUUGCAGACCAAUGCAGUUAGGUGUCAAGCUCUUCAUCCACCAGUUCUCCGUGUGCUGGGCUGUGGAAGGCCUCUGUCCUAGGAAUGAGGUGCAUGUUUGAACAUGUAACCCUGACUUGUCCUGCCUCAAAGUAGGAAAGAGUUAUGAACUUGGGCUGUAGGAGAAACGUCAUAAGAUGGCCCAGCAGGUGGGUAGCCUGAAGUGUGUGGGAGUCGCAGGUGGUGUCAGAAGCAAGAAAGCUCAAAUUGACUUGGCGCUUCCAGCAUUCUCAUCCAGAUACUGAUUGGCCACUACUAUGCCUGCGGCACUGGAUGCUCCCAGCCUGUUCACAAGGCCUUUACUGUUGCAAGACUGCUUCAGAAGGCAGUGGGUAGGAAGCCCUUCCUUGCAUCCCACAAGCAAGAACCUGGCACAGAGGUCUGCUGGAUAUACACAAUUGCUGAAAGCUGUUAAAAGAACUGAUACAUAGCCCAUUUCAGUGGCUAUUACUUGGUCAUCUUUAACACUGAACAACUCUUGUUGGGCAGAAUGUAAUACAAAUGUUUUAAUUGGGUACAAUACUGGGCAUAACUUAAAAAAAUAAUUAUUAAACCAUAUCAAACUUGUGCCAGGAUGUGUGUCUCCUCUUGCCAGCGUUUACCUGGAUUGUCUGGCUGUUGGUGGAUUAAAGAGAUACGACUUGAACAAAGGGCAUAUCGAGCACUGUGGUCAGGAUGACGAAUUGCAGUAUGUGUUGCCACAUAAAUGAGUUCUGGAUUUGCUACUGAUGACAUAGUUUAGUGGAGGAGGUCUAAGGGAUGAUUGUGCUGAAUGCUCCCAAUCUCCACAAACACUGCCUUGGAAACACAUUAUCCUGUUAAAUCAUAAGCAUGGCAGGACUAGCUAGCCUGUUCUCACCAGAUCUUGGAGACUAAGCAGGAUUGGUCCUGGCUAGUACUUGAAUAGGGUGACCAAGGAAAUGCAAGGUUGCUAUGCAGAGGCAGGCAAGGGCAAACCACCUCUGUUCCUCUCCUGCUCCUCAAGCCAUUCGAGGUCCUCAAGUAUUUUAUUUUCCCUGCAAAUGUCUCCCCAAAAUUAUUAAUCUCCUGUGCCUUUGAUUUUUGAAGGUCUCAAUCUUACUUAUGUAGUAAUGCUUAAAAGUCUGUUCAGUCUCUGAAGACGCUUUGAAAUUCUCCUCCCCUUCCAGACAGCUUGUAUGUGAGAUCAAACAGCCCAACGCUUGUAAAAAUGCCUCGUUGUGCUUGGUAACUAAGAGAACAUGGUACUUCAAGCAGUCAGAGUAUAUAAACUGUAUAAUUUGUAGCAAUAUAUCUUGAUUGUUUGCAUGGUGAAACUGACUAAUGAGAAGAUUUACCUAAAGUGAACUCUCAAACUGCAAAAGAAAAACAACACACAUUUGUUCAUAUAUUAUU
This is a long non-coding RNA of Gekko japonicus, 1537 nucleotides long. RefSeq lists it as uncharacterized. NCBI's taxonomy places the organism in Eukaryota, Metazoa, Chordata, Lepidosauria, Squamata, Gekkonidae. The transcript is spliced from 8 exons. The record is from RefSeq and is a predicted model, not a curated record.